RNAcentral lists this ribosomal RNA (484 nucleotides) under uncultured bacterium. RNAcentral's name for it is "partial 16S ribosomal RNA". It matches the Rfam family "Bacterial small subunit ribosomal RNA", at positions 30 to 507 of the family's 1533-position model. The record is from RNAcentral.
AUUGAACGCUGGCGGCAGGCCUAACACAUGCAAGUCGAGCGGAUGAAGGGAGCUUGCUCCUGGAUUCAGCGGCGGACGGGUGUGUAAUGCCUAGGAAUCUGCCUGGUAGUGGGGGAUAACGUCCGGAAACGGGCGCUAAUACCGCAUACGUCCUGAGGGAGAAAGUGGGGGUUCUUCGGACCUCACGCUAUCAGAUGAGCCUAGGUCGGAUUAGCUAGUUGGUGGGGUAAAGGCCUACCAAGGCGACGAUCCGUAACUGGUCUGAGAGGAUGAUCAGUCACACUGGAACUGAGACACGGUCCAGACUCCUACGGGAGGCAGCAGUGGGGAAUAUUGGACAAUGGGCGAAAGCCUGAUCCAGCCAUGCCGCGUGUGUGAAGAAGGUCUUCGGAUUGUAAAGCACGUUAAGUUGGGAGGAAGGGCAGUAAGUUAAUACCUUGCUGUUUGGACGUUACCAACAGAAUAAGCACCGGCUAACUUCGUG